GAUGAACGCUGGCGGCGUGCUUAACACAUGCAAGUCGAACGGGAAUUCUUUUAUUGAACCUUCGGUCGAUUUAAUUUAAUUCUAGUGGCGGACGGGUGAGUAACGCGUGGGUACCCUGCCUUAUACAGGGGGAUAACAGUCAGAAAUGGCUGCUAAUACCGCAUAAGCGCACAGAGCUGCAUGGCUCAGUGUGAAAAACUCCGGUGGUAUAAGAUGGACCCGCGUUGGAUUAGCUGGUUGGUGGGGUAACGGCCCACCAAGGCGACGAUCCAUAGCCGGCCUGAGAGGGUGAACGGCCACAUUGGGACUGAGACACGGCCCAGACUCCUACGGGAGGCAGCAGUGGGGAAUAUUGCACAAUGGGGGAAACCCUGAUGCAGCGACGCCGCGUGAAGGAAGAAGUAUCUCGGUAUGUAAACUUCUAUCAGCAGGGAAGAUAGUGGCGGUACCUGACUAAGAAGCCCCGGCUAACUACGUG
This 478-nucleotide ribosomal RNA is filed under the name uncultured bacterium. RNAcentral's name for it is "partial 16S ribosomal RNA". It matches the Rfam family "Bacterial small subunit ribosomal RNA", at positions 28 to 507 of the family's 1533-position model. The record is from RNAcentral.